AUUUUCCGUAGACCAGGGCGGGGUGACGGGUGAUCCCAGUCCUCGCAGUGAACUCUGGGGCGCAGAAUUCAAAACGCUUGCGGUCGCCGAGCGCAGCCCCGCCCUGGGUUAUGUAAGCGACAGCGCUGGGCCGUUUCUCUUUUUUUUCCGGACCCCGCAGUGGCGCCUAAAGUCUGCAAGGAGGAGGUCGCCUCUGUGCUGUGAGUCCAGGAAUCUAAGCUCGGCAGCUCUUCUGCUCCAUACAACAUGGACUGGGCCACCAUCAUCUGGAGCCCAGCUGGUCCAACACAUUCAAGAGGCUCCUGCACAGGGCUGCAGUUGAUGCUGGCUUGUUGGCUGGGAACUCACUGAGGCUGUGAACCAGGGCUUGUGGUCCCUGACAAGGAGGACCCUGAGGGCAACCACACCUUGCCAUGCAGAGCACCUGGCUUCUCAUCUGCCAACCUCACUCUGACCCGGCUGCAGGAAGGGAAGGAGCCAACCCCGGACUCAAGACUCAAGGGGACCAGAACCAGGGAGAUGAGACAUACCAGGGCUGGGCAGCUGUGGGGGUCCUUCCAGAGAGGAGCUGAGAUGCGCCUACCUGGAGGGGCCCCUGGGCCUGGAGGGGCUCCUCAGUGUGACUGGGUGAAGUGUUUUCAGAGGACCAGGGUUGAGGUUGGGGGCAUCUCAUCCAGACCCUGCCGGCAUCUGCCCCAGAACCCAAGGGCCCCUCCUUCCUCCUUCCUCAAUGGAAAUGCUGGGGAUGUCCUCAGUCACCCUCUGAGCACUCACACAUCACCCCUUAUUUGGAAAUUUUUCUCACUCUAACCUUCCUUCCUGCUGCACCUUCUGCCCCAUCCCCAGGCUCUGGCCUCUCUCUCUCUCCUCUUCUACCCUUUAGCAGGUAAUGACUCACUUCCCACUGAGGAGCCAGCUCUAGGGAGCUGCCCUUCCCCCAAGCCCAGGAAAGUGAAAAGAGAAGCAGGAACAGUGAAAUACUCCACAGGAAAGAAAAAUCUUAGUGAUCCCUCCUGUUGUCUCUUUCCUUUUGCCUAUUCUGGCAAAUUUUGUAAGUGAAAUUGGUUACCAAGAUGUGAAAAUCUUAUUAUAAGAAAGUCUCUAAAUAUUUGAGAAUAAAAUUAUCAAUGUCUCAGCUCUGCAGGCUGAAAAAACGGAGGCUUUACAAAAUAAAAUCAUGCUCGGAAAACUUCUCCUCUGAGGGAUGUCAAAGGCUGCACUGAAUAAGCUCUAAGGUGGUGCUGAAAUGAGUCAUUUAUUUGCCUGUGUAAGCUCAGGCAGGUGUUGGAAUUGAGGAAGUAUAGGUAAUGAAAAAAGUAACCAUGUCCUCGGGACAUAGCGACUGGUGAUGACCACAAAAUCAACACAAUAAACUCUAGCAUUCACAUUGUAGUCUAGCUCAUUCAAGCAAAGCUAUCUCCAAUAGGGAGUUUACCCUGUACAGAACACGUGCAUUUCCACCUGUUCUCAGACUGACCCUUUGCUCAUCACAAUAGUGAAAAAAAACACAGCCCUGGGUGGAGAUUUAAGAUGCUAAUGAGUCAUGAGAUGUAUGAACAAGCAUGUACAGCUACUGCACACGUGCACCCAGAAGACCGCCCAGAACAUGCUUGCUAGUAACACCUCUUCCCACCCACCUCCUGUGAAUAAUCAUGUAAGACUCCCAUAAAGGGAGUUUCUCCAGCAAUAAUCAAUGCUGUCUCAUCCUUAGGAGCAGCCCACCCUGAAUCCUCUCUCAGGGUGUACAGUUUAUUUUGCACUUAACUUUCAAAAUAAUAUUUUUCCUUUGUAAUAAAUUGCUUUGUACUUCA
Molecule: long non-coding RNA, 1811 nt
Organism: Pan troglodytes (chimpanzee)
Lineage: Eukaryota; Metazoa; Chordata; Mammalia; Primates; Hominidae
Exons: 4
Source: RefSeq, a predicted model, not a curated record